GGCCUACGGGGGGCUGCAGUGGGGAAUAUUGGACAAUGGGCGCAAGCCUGAUCCAGCCAUGCCGCGUGAGUGAUGAAGGCCCUAGGGUUGUAAAGCUCUUUCACCGAUGAAGAUAAUGACGGUAGUCGGAGAAGAAGCCCCGGCUAACUUCGUGCCAGCAGCCGCGGUAAUACGAAGGGGGCUAGCGUUGUUCGGAAUUACUGGGCGUAAAGCGCACGUAGGCGGAUAUUUAAGUCAGGGGUGAAAUCCCAGAGCUCAACUCUGGAACUGCCUUUGAUACUGGGUAUCUCGAGUAUGGAAGAGGUGAGUGGAAUUCCGAGUGUAGAGGUGAAAUUCGUAGAUAUUCGGAGGAACACCAGUGGCGAAGGCGGCUCACUGGUCCAUUACUGACGCUGAGGUGCGAAAGCGUGGGGAGCAAACAGGAUUAGAUACCCUAGUAGUCUG
Molecule: ribosomal RNA, 444 nt
Filed under: uncultured Rhizobiaceae bacterium
Lineage: Bacteria; Pseudomonadati; Pseudomonadota; Alphaproteobacteria; Hyphomicrobiales; Rhizobiaceae
Description: bacterial SSU rRNA
Rfam family: Bacterial small subunit ribosomal RNA
Source: RNAcentral